CGUCCCCCGCACGCACCGUUCCCCACCCACGUCCCCACGUCCCGCACCCACUUCCAUCUCCUCGCCGACCCUUGCCGCCGCCACGCAGCCCUCGACUUCGCGCCGCCGCGGGUCGCUCGCGCCGGCCCCGCAGCUCGCGCCGCCGCGCAUCCCUCUCGUGCCGCUCUCGUCUCUCUCUUUCUCUCUCUCGUGCUCGCCGCCACCGCCGCGCCACUCUUCCUCCGCCCCCGCCUCCCCCGCCGCCCCGCGCGCCCCGUACCUUGAGGCGGAGAAGAAUCCCUCCCGCAGCAUCAAAUAGAUCGAGUCUGCGCGCCCCGUACCUUGAAUUGCUGGAGGAAGAGGACGGAGGAGGCGUGGGCUUGGAAGCCAUAGGAGAGGCGGAUCCCGCGGUCGAGGAGCCCAAUGGUGCCGUCGUCGCAACCCACCGCAACGCGGCCGCGGCCGCUCGAGCAGCAGGUGACGCGGCGGACGACCCUCCGCCCUCGCCCCUGCCUCCGCUUCCGCCGCCUCCACGCCACUCUUCCUGUUGCUGCCGCGCCCCUGUCUCCAAGUGUCAUCAGGAUUGUAGUAUCAAACCGUACAAGUUAUUCUUGUAAAAAUUUUUCUUUAUUGAUGAUGGAAUGGAUCAAAUAAAGCAGUGAGCAAUGUGCAAUGCUCUCAGGUUUAUCUGUCGCGGGAACAAACAGAUUUACUGUCAAGGUCCAAGAGAAUGCAACAAUGCAUUAAACUCCGGAGUGUAAAGGACAUCAGGGAUGGAUUCCGAGGGUACUGUUAUGAUCAAAGGUCUUUCAUUAUAUUUUUAACAGCUUUUCAUAGGUAUAAACAGGUAGUCAAACUAUUCUCAGUACUUUAAUUCACAAUUACAAAAUGAGUUGGUUCAAGCAUUCAAGUAGUUCUAUACCAUUUAGCUCUUCCUUUUUUAACCGCAGAAUAUUGGAAAGGAGAAGAAGAAAGAUAUCAGG
This is a long non-coding RNA of Panicum virgatum (switchgrass), 962 nucleotides long. RefSeq lists it as uncharacterized. Lineage: Eukaryota; Viridiplantae; Streptophyta; Magnoliopsida; Poales; Poaceae. The transcript is spliced from 3 exons. The record is from RefSeq and is a predicted model, not a curated record.